ACUGCAUUCGAGUGUGUGGGUAGAGUGGUAAAUUUUCUAGCACCAUUCGAAUUCAGUGC
Molecule: microRNA precursor, 59 nt
Filed under: Heliconius melpomene (postman butterfly)
Lineage: Eukaryota; Metazoa; Arthropoda; Insecta; Lepidoptera; Nymphalidae
Description: Hme-Mir-29-P1_pre stem-loop
Source: RNAcentral